This 291-nucleotide ribosomal RNA is filed under the name uncultured bacterium. Its description in RNAcentral is "partial 16S ribosomal RNA". It matches the Rfam family "Bacterial small subunit ribosomal RNA", at positions 333 to 642 of the family's 1533-position model. The record is from RNAcentral.
UGUGCCCUACGGGACGCAGCAGUGGGGAAUAUUGCACAAUGGGGGAAGCCCUGAUGCAGCGACGCCGCGUGAAGGACGAAGUAUUUCGGUACGUAAACUUCUAUCAGCAGGGAAGAAAAUGACGGUACCUGACCAAGAAGCCCCGGCUAACUACGUGCCAGCAGCCGCGGUAAUACGUAGGGGGCAAGCGUUAUCCGGAUUUACUGGGCGUAAAGGGUGCGUAGGCGGCCUGCUAAGUCUGGAGUGAAAGGUACCGGCUCAACCGGUACAGGCUCUGGAAACUGGCGGGCU